UACGUAGGCAGCGAGCGUUGUUCGGAGUUACUGGGCGUAAAGGGUGUGUAGGCGGUUGUUUAAGUUUGGUGUGAAAUCUCCCGGCUCAACUGGGAGGGUGCGCCGAAUACUGAAUGACUUGGAGUGCGGGAGAGGAAAGUGGAAUUCCAGGUGUAGCGGUGAAAUGCGUAGAUAUCUGGAGGAACACCGGUGGCGAAGGCGGCAUCCUGGACCAACACUGACGCUGAGUGAGCGAAAGCCAGGGGAGCAAACGGG
RNAcentral lists this ribosomal RNA (255 nucleotides) under uncultured bacterium. RNAcentral describes it as "partial 16S ribosomal RNA". It matches the Rfam family "Bacterial small subunit ribosomal RNA", at positions 524 to 776 of the family's 1533-position model. The record is from RNAcentral.